UUUGUGGAGAGUUUGAUCCUGGCUCAGGACGAACGCUGGCGGCAUGCCUAACACAUGCAAGUCGAACGGAGCACAGAUACUUCGGUGGAAGUGCUUAGUGGCGGACGGGUGAGUAACGCGUGGAUAACCUGCCUGAGAGUGGGGGAUAACAGCCCGAAAGGGCUGCUAAU
RNAcentral lists this ribosomal RNA (170 nucleotides) under Heliobacterium mobile. RNAcentral's name for it is "Heliobacillus mobilis Bacterial small subunit ribosomal RNA". It matches the Rfam family "Bacterial small subunit ribosomal RNA", at positions 1 to 167 of the family's 1533-position model. Lineage: Bacteria; Bacillati; Bacillota; Clostridia; Eubacteriales; Heliobacteriaceae. The record is from Rfam by way of RNAcentral.